RNAcentral lists this ribosomal RNA (164 nucleotides) under uncultured bacterium. RNAcentral's name for it is "partial 16S rRNA". It matches the Rfam family "Bacterial small subunit ribosomal RNA", at positions 355 to 511 of the family's 1533-position model. The record is from RNAcentral.
UAAGGAAUCUUCCACAAUGGACGAAAGUCUGAUGGAGCAACGCCGCGUGAGUGAAGAAGGGUUUCGGCUCGUAAAACUCUGUUGUUAAAGAAGAACAUAUCUGAGAGUAACUGUUCAGGUAUUGACGGUAUUUAACCAGAAAGCCACGGCUAACUACGUGCCAG